UACGUAGGUGGCUAGCGUUGUCCGGAUUUACUGGGCGUAAAGAGCGCGCAGGCGGUCGUUCAAGUCGAGUGUGAAAGCCCCCGGCUCAACUGGGGAGGGUCACUCGAUACUGAUCGACUCGAAGGCAGAAGAGGGAAGCGGAAUUCCCGGUGUAGUGGUGAAAUGCGUAGAUAUCGGGAGGAACACCAGUGGCGAAGGCGGCUUUCUGGUCUGCUCUUGACGCUGAGGCGCGAAAGCUAGGGUAGCAAACGGG
This 253-nucleotide ribosomal RNA is filed under the name uncultured bacterium. RNAcentral's name for it is "partial 16S ribosomal RNA". It matches the Rfam family "Bacterial small subunit ribosomal RNA", at positions 524 to 776 of the family's 1533-position model. The record is from RNAcentral.